ACGAACGCUGGCGGCGUGCUUCACACCUGCAAGUCGAACGGAAAGGCCCUGCUUGCCGGGUACUCGAGUGGCGAACGGGUGAGUAACACGUGGGUGAUCUGCCCUGCACUUCGGGAUAAGCCUGGGAAACUGGGUCUAAUACCGGAUAGGAGCCAUUUUUAGUGUGAUGGUUGGAAAGUUUUUUCGGUGUAGGAUGAGCUCGCGGCCUAUCAGCUUGUUGGUGGGGUAAUGGCCUACCAAGGCGGCGACGGGUAGCCGGCCUGAGAGGGUGGACGGCCACAUUGGGACUGAGAUACGGCCCAGACUCCUACGGGAGGCAGCAGUGGGGAAUAUUGCACAAUGGGCGCAAGCCUGAUGCAGCGACGCCGCGUGGGGGAUGACGGCCUUCGGGUUGUAAACUCCUUUCGCUAGGGACGAAGCUUUUUGUGACGGUACCUAGAUAAGAAGCACCGGCUAACUACGU
RNAcentral lists this ribosomal RNA (463 nucleotides) under uncultured bacterium. RNAcentral describes it as "partial 16S ribosomal RNA". It matches the Rfam family "Bacterial small subunit ribosomal RNA", at positions 29 to 506 of the family's 1533-position model. The record is from RNAcentral.